UCUUUGCGGUGGAUUUAUUUUAAAACCAAUCAGAGAUCAAAAUCGGACAGCCAAUCAGCGUUUUUCUGCCAUUGUCGCUGACGUAUGUCGUCAUUGGCUGCGACGUGUCUCAUCAUUGGCUACGGACUUGUGGGAGGAGCGUAGAGAGGCGGAGAAACGAAGCCGGGAAACAGAUUUAAACCAAGUUUGAAACAUUGCUUCGGUUUGCCAGUACUGUGAGAAAACGUCGUCACCGAAGAGGCCAGGAUGCUAAAACAAACACUGGAGCUGCUUUUUUGUCGAACAGGAGUGAGACUGGACGAUGCACACACGCGGCGCGAAGGUUUACUGAUUCAGCUGCUGCAGCCUGGACAGAAACACCAGCUCUCACCUUACAAACCAAACAGGUGUCACCACUUCGUCCACAAUCACAGAGUGUCUUUGUACAAUGAUGAAGUUCUUUGAGACCAGGACUGAGGCCUCCAGGUUUCAAACUUUAACCAUCAAAUCAUAGAGAGAAGGGACAGAUGUGAAGACAUUUCCAGAAGGUCUUCAGCUGCUGUCGUCUUCUCCUCCUGCAGAGACAAGAACAUGUGUUAAACACAGAAACUGAUCAGUAAAUCUAUUUUUCCUUUGCUAAACUGACCUUAUUCAUUGUUGAUACCUACUUACGGUGAUUUAAACUAAACAUUUUAUAAUUCAUUCAGUAUCACAUAUCUUAGUUUGUUUUUCUUAUUAUUACAGUCACAGUAAUGACUAGAAAUAGUUCUGGAACUAUAAAAUAAAAACCUACUAUAAUUAUUACAUAGAUAUAAACAUGAACCAUGUAAUAAAUGCAAGCAUUUUAACUGUACUGUUACUAAAAUUAUUUUUACUUGAUAAAUUACAUCUUUUAAUGACAUUUUUCACCGCAUUUUAUACUAUGGCCUUUUUAAUGAUAUUUAAUAUUUGUACUCAAAUCCAAACUAUUACUGUGUACAUAACCCUGUUUAUACUGUUGUCUUUGCUACUGCAACACUGAAUUUCCCUGCUAUGGCACUAAUAAAGCAUUAUCUUACUCAAAUAAAUACUU
Long non-coding RNA from Lates calcarifer (barramundi perch), 1051 nucleotides. RefSeq lists it as uncharacterized. The transcript has 5 exons. The record is from RefSeq and is a predicted model, not a curated record. Lineage: Eukaryota; Metazoa; Chordata; Actinopteri; Centropomidae.